RNAcentral lists this long non-coding RNA (1554 nucleotides) under Populus trichocarpa (black cottonwood). Its description in RNAcentral is "long non-coding RNA (PTRI_LNC002035)". The record is from RNAcentral. Lineage: Eukaryota; Viridiplantae; Streptophyta; Magnoliopsida; Malpighiales; Salicaceae.
ACCCUUCCCCUUCCCCAUCUCAAAUGCUCCACACUCACUUCUCUCUCUCCCACUAUCCCUCUUCUUCUUCCCUCAAGACACCAUCACCAUGAAAAAAAGACGAAAAAGAAUCAAGCCCCAUCCCCACUCCCCUCUCCUUCUGUAACUACUCAGUUUAUGCCUCCACUUCCCUUCAUUUUCUUCUUCUUCUUCUUCUGUACUUCAAAAUCCAACAACAAAAUGUGUUAUGUAGGGAAAGCAACAAAGAUCUUCAUUUUCAUUGUGACAGCACUUGUAAUUCUUGGUCUUGUCUUGGUAUUUGGUCUCUUACGCCACCACCUUCAUAAAUCACAAAACUGCGCUGAUGAUUCCUGUCAAUCUCCUAACUUACCCUUCCCUACUCCUCCUCUUACUGUGCCUACUGGGCUGACCCCACCUAGUCCAAUGGGCUUCUCACCGCCCAGCCCACCAGAUUCUGGGUCCACCCCACCACCAAGCCCACCGGACACUGGCACAACUCCUCUUCUGCUGUCACCGCCACCACCUCCUCUUCCGCUCCCACCGCCACCUCUUCCUCCUCCUGCUGCUCCAGUUACAAAUGGGGCUCCACCACCGACUAAUAAUCCGCCGAGCAGUACUGUGUUGAUCACUCCAGGUCCUCUGCAUGCUUAGCUGUUCUUUACUAUCAUGACCUUUUCUUUUCCUUGUAUUUUGUAUUUAAUUUUUAGUGUCAUUUUUUUAGGAUAAUUUUUUUUUUGGGAUUGUACAGGGAUGGUUGUUCGGGUUGUGGAUUGUAACGAAGGAUUGUGAUUAUUAUAAUUUCUUGAGCAUUAGUGAAUUCACAGAGCUGUCCCUGAAUUCUUAGAAAAAAAACAAUAAUCAUGUUCUGGCUUUUUCCCCCUUGAGAAUGUUGUUUUUCUUUUAAUAUCUAGCAGUAUACUAACAAUUUAGUUAAAUAUUGUAAAUUUAUUUGAUAAUUAUUAUCGCGUUGUGAAAACUGAAAAGAAAUGUUUUGCACUUGUGGUAAAUCGAGUCAAAAUGGAGCCUUAAAAGUCGUGAAAGGUUUAGAAUCCGAGGCAAGUUGUCUUCACUAGUCAAAGAGGAGAGAAAAAGGCACUGCCAGUCUGCCAUGACAGGUGGUGUCUCCUAUGGUUUCUUGACGAUCACUUGCUCAGGUUACUAUUGGAUGUCUGGUGAUGUCAAGGAAUCUGCAAUGGAAAAGGUUGCCAUUAAAAAGUCAUUGAUGGUUACGCUCUGCACUCUGCAGAUAUUCUUCGUCUCCUUUUUUUAAUGUUCUUUCAUGGGUUCUUUUUGGCACAGGUUUCGCCUUCCCAUGUGAGGCCAGACAUGUGUUUCAUUGACAUGGUGAUGUGUUGGAGUCACUUGCAAGCUCUUAGGUCAUGGAGGUUUCAGUAUCAUCAUAGUUGUAACAGUGUUAUGGUGAUGUCUUUGAAAGCGAUUUUAAUGUGGAUUAAUAUUUUUUUAUUGGUUUUGAUGGAUUGCUAUUAAAAAUAAAAAAAUAUAAAAAAUUUCUAUUAAUAUAUUUUUAAGUGAAUAUUUUAAAAAAAAAAUUAC